AUACGGAGGAUCCGAGCGUUAUCCGGAUUUAUUGGGUUUAAAGGGAGCGUAGAUGGAUGUUUAAGUCAGUUGUGAAAGUUUGCGGCUCAACCGUAAAAUUGCAGUUGAUACUGGAUAUCUUGAGUGCAGUUGAGGCAGGCGGAAUUCGUGGUGUAGCGGUGAAAUGCUUAGAUAUCACGAAGAACUCCGAUUGCGAAGGCAGCCUGCUAAGCUGCAACUGACAUUGAGGCUCGAAAGUGUGGGUAUCAAACAGGAUUAGAUACCCUGGUAGUCCACACGGUAAACGAUGAAUACUCGCUGUUUGCGAUAUACGGCAAGCGGCCAAGCGAAAGCGUUAAGUAUCCCACCUGGGGAGUACGCCGGCAACGGUGAAACUCAAAGGAAUUGACGGGGGCCCGCACAAGCGGAGGAACAUGUGGUUUAAUUCGAUGAUACGCGAGGAACCUUACCCGGGCUUAAAUUGCAAAGGAAUAAUCUGGAAACAGAUUAGUCUUCGGACCUUUGUGAAGGUGCUGCAUGGUUGUCGUCAGCUCGUGCCGUGAGGUGUCGGCUUAAGUGCCAUAACGAGCGCAACCCUCGCCGCCAGUUACUAGCAGGUAAUGCUGAGGACUCUGGCGGGACUGCCAUCGUAAGAUGUGAGGAAGGUGGGGAUGACGUCAAAUCAGCACGGCCCUUACGUCCGGGGCUACACACGUGUUACAAUGGGCGGUACAGAAGGCAGCUACCUGGCGACAGGAUGCCAAUCCCUAAAGCCGCUCUCAGUUCGGACUGGAGUCUGCAACCCGACUCCACGAAGCUGGAUUCGCUAGUAAUCGCGCAUCAGCCACGGCGCGGUGAAUACGUUCCCGGGCCUUGUACACACCGCCCGUCAAGCCAUGAAAGCCGGGGGUACCUGAAGUGCGUAACCGCAAGGAGCGCCCUAGGGUAAAACCGGUAAUUGGGGCU
RNAcentral lists this ribosomal RNA (945 nucleotides) under uncultured bacterium. RNAcentral describes it as "bacterial SSU rRNA". It matches the Rfam family "Bacterial small subunit ribosomal RNA", at positions 523 to 1482 of the family's 1533-position model. The record is from RNAcentral.